UGGGGAAUUUUGGGCAAUGGGGGAAACCCUGAUGCAGCCAUCCCGCGUGUGCGAUGAAGGCCUUCGGGUUGUAAAGCUCUUUUGGCAGGAAAGAACCGUAAUGGGUUAAUACCGCAUGAAACUGACGGUACCUGCAGAAUAAGCACCGGCUAAAUACGGGCCAGCAGCCGCGGUAAUACGGAGGGUGCAAGCGUUAAUCGGAAUUACUGGGCGUAAAGCGUGCGCAGGCGGUUCGGAAAGAAAGAUGUGAAAUCCCAUAGCUCAACCUUGGAACUGCAGUUGAAACUACCGAGCUAGAGUGUGGUAGAGGGAGGGGGAAUUCCGCGUGUAGCAGUGAAAUGCGUAGAUAUGCGGAGGAACACCGAUGGCGAAGGCAGCCUGCUAGGAUAACACUGACGCUCAUGGACGAAAGCGUGGGGAGCAAACAGG
Molecule: ribosomal RNA, 429 nt
Filed under: Acidobacteriota bacterium
Lineage: Bacteria; Pseudomonadati; Acidobacteriota
Description: Acidobacteria bacterium partial 16S ribosomal RNA
Rfam family: Bacterial small subunit ribosomal RNA
Source: RNAcentral